Molecule: ribosomal RNA, 210 nt
Filed under: Enterococcus saigonensis
Lineage: Bacteria; Bacillati; Bacillota; Bacilli; Lactobacillales; Enterococcaceae
Description: partial 16S ribosomal RNA
Rfam family: Bacterial small subunit ribosomal RNA
Source: RNAcentral
GUGCAGAAGAGGAGAUAAGAAAUCCACGUGUAGCGGUGAAAUGCCCAGAUAAUUCGGGGAACACCAGUGGCGAAGGUGGCUCUCUGGUCUGUAACCGACGAUGAGGCUGGAAAGCGUGGGGAGCAAACAGGAUUAGAUACCCGGAGUUCUGCCUAAACGUUGAGUACUAAGUGAGGAGGGUAACGCCAACAGGUGCAGCAAACGCAUUAA